GUCUUGUUAAAAAUGAAAGAAGCAAUCUGCAAACUUUUCCUCUGCACAGCAGCGAAAUGGUUAAUACAAUGAAAAGAAAAAACGUAAAGGUGCAACCAAACAUGAAUAGCUUAUUGAAGUUAUCUCCUAAAGUUUUCUUCUUCAUGGAGCCUUCCAAGAACCCCUUACUCCGUCAAACCAUCAUCUACAAGAACCACUGCUUGAGACUUUUCAUCAAAGUGUUUCUUCUACCCAGAUGACAUCUAGUUUCUUCUUAUCUGUUAUAUUGAACUUUGGAUAGGGGAUAAGAUGUCUUUGCGCCGCAGUACCCCUUUAAAUAGCAUUUUGAUGUAUAUUUCUUGAUGGUAUAACAGAGAGGAUGGUUUGUUACUAUAUGUAUUACCUGUCUUCGAGUGUUGUGUGUCCCAGUAGGGAUUGGA
Long non-coding RNA from Hyla sarda, 419 nucleotides. RefSeq lists it as uncharacterized. Lineage: Eukaryota; Metazoa; Chordata; Amphibia; Anura; Hylidae. The record is from RefSeq and is a predicted model, not a curated record. The transcript is spliced from 3 exons.